This 21-nucleotide non-coding RNA is filed under the name Arabidopsis thaliana (thale cress). Lineage: Eukaryota; Viridiplantae; Streptophyta; Magnoliopsida; Brassicales; Brassicaceae. The record is from RNAcentral.
UUGGAACUUACUUACAAUGGC